CGCGAAUCAUGACCUGAGCCGAAGUCGGACGCUCAACCGACCGAGCCACCCAGGCGCCCCAACAAGGAAGGAAUUUUAAAGUGAGAACAUGGUUGGGGCUGAUCAGAUAUAUCUGCAGGUGGCCAGUGUGGUCUGCGGACUGCUAGUCGGCCAUUUUCUUGCCCCUCGCCCAAUCCAGGGCCCUGUCCUUGGUUCUGACGCACUUGGCAUUUUAACCAGUGACUUGGGGAGAAAAGGGGACAUCAAAGCCCAGAGAGGCUCCUCAUUCCUCUGGUGUCACACAGCAAGUUAGGGGCAGGUUCAGUGCGUGUGGCACCUAAUCCUUUCCUGGAAUCGCCAUGCCAUCCCUUGGGCUGCUGCAGAAGCCUUCUGUGGCCGUGCGUGUCCUGGAAAAGUCACCUCAGACCGUAGCGUGGAGAUAAGCAGUGUUAGAAUGUUAGCUUAUCUGCUUCCUGUUUUUUUCUGGCUCUUAUGUUUUUACAUAGGUGAGGCCAUAUUGUAUAUCCGGCCUUACAAAUGUAUAUAGGUAUUUCCAUCUGGACUGUGUGGUGAGUGUUUCCAGGCAUCAGGAGAAACUGCACUGCAUGGCUCCCGAGGGACAGUGCAGAGCUGUGGCACCGUGACACAGCCCCCGGCUGUCCCCGGAGGUGGGUUUUGCAGCUCUGAAGCUCCGCUUCCAACAGCCCUGCAGGAGAUGGCCUCACACCAGCUCCUCCAUGCACUGGAGCAUGGAUACAGCCCCUCUCUGCUUCCCUCUUCCGAGAGCCGCUCCAGAGCAAGACAUGGUGUCAGACUUGCCGAUUAGCCUCAAGCAGAAUCCGCUAGUGUGUGUUUUCUGGGCCACCCCAUUGCCCGGAAACACAUUCAUCAAUAUGAAAGAUGUAGAGAGUUCCUACCCAAGCGCUGGUAGGCGCCCCCGCCCCCAGAUGAAAGGAGCACUGUUUCGUAGCAAGCCCUGCCAUUCCCCGUUCUCUCCAAGCAGCACUGGGGGCGGCUUGGCCAAGCGGCCUUGGGAGGAAAUGCUGAGGGCUGAGAGGAGGGCGGUCGGAGCCCGCCGGGUCAGCGGGGCACUUCCUCCUCUGUUCCAGACACACAAAGCAGCCACCUGGGAUGAGAAGGGCAGACAGCCUGGUGAUUCAGAAGGCCUUGGCUGGCUCAGGCCCGCUCACUGCCCGGGCCAGGACAGAGGCCGUCUUCCGCCCCAGUGGCAGCAGGUGGUGCUGCUGGUUUCCUGACGAUCCCCGCCACUCAGUUCUGUGACCCCCACAAUGUGACUGCCCCCCACCCCGCCCCCCUGCACAUGAAUAUUCCUAUGCAAGGCCUCGGAUGAGCCAGGCCAGCGGGGGAGGGGCCCAGGGACACUUGCUCCCUAUGAAUGGGCCCACAGAGCGGGAGGCGGAAGCCGCUUGAUCUUUCUGCCCCGAGUUCCAUCCUCCUUUGCUCUCAUUCACUCGCGCUUUCAACAAGCAUUUAUUUAUUGGGUUUGCGGUGUGGCCCGGGCCCCGUCGACUACACGGAGGACAGAGCACAGAGGGGCCUUGCAGCGAAUCCACUGUCCAUUCAUGGAGGAGGAAGACGGAGCGCCGGUCCCCAGGGGCCGCGCUGUCAGCAGGCGUAAAGGGGGGUCUGCCCCGCCAGGCUAGCUUCUGUGGGCUGUCGGCGCCCAUGGGAAAGCAGAGGGCACGUUUUCUGUCCCCCAGGUAGGUUUGAGGAAAGCGAGGUGCCACCGCGUGUAGCCUUCUGUGACUCCAAAAGUCAGCACGGUGCCUGGUACACACAUAGGUCCCCAAGCGCCACUCGCAGACUGGAAAGCCAGGAGCCCGCCAUGGCUAAGCGGCUCAUCCGUGGUCAUCUGGAUGACUGGCCAGGGAUUGAACCGAGGGCGUCUUUCAUCCCACGCCCAAAGCUCUCUAGGCUGUGACCGUGCUUUGUCUGCGUGCACGGCGGUGCAGGGGCAGGGAGCUCUUUCUGGACCGGAGCUUGUGGAUUUUCAGCAUCGUGUGUGCUGGGUUUUAAAGUUCUUGGCCAUACUGUUUCAGCAUAUUCUAAAGGGGACGCAGGGCACGUGGGAAAUAACUGGGGGUCAUAAGAGGCUCUGGAACAACGUUAGGGUAGAGUUGCACAGCAGCGGGGCGGGGGGGGGCCCCGUGUGGCAAGCCUUGCCUGUGAGCCCAGGAUGACGGGGCUCAGCAUGGUGCCAGCUCACGGAGAGGGUAUUAGAAUGCACGCGGUGUAUAUAGCCUCACGUUACCGUGUUCGUGCAAAAGGAGCUCCUCCGGAGACAUUGAAGCACUUUUUUCACUCUUACCAUUGCCCGUUUAUCAGUUUGAGGGAAAACGGGUGUUUCGACCCUCGUUGCCUGAGCUAGGGUCUGGACGGAGGAGCAAAGCCUGAUUUUGCACGUGCGUGGCAGGUGUGCAGUUGCCGAGGGGCUUGCCCGUGUGAGGCCAGGAGGGGAAGGCCCGGGGCCCGGGGCUGGAGGGGUGGCGGAGCACCCCAAGAGUUGUCUGUCUGUGGGGGCCGCCUGGGUUCCCGUGAAUGCCUGAUCCUUCCUUUGUACAUUGUGUCCAAUUGUCCGCCUCGCAAACUCCUGCGUAUUCUUGGAUACGCGGCUCACAUAUGCUGCGUGGAAAGGUGUCACCUGUCCACGGCACUGCCUGCCCCGAUCCCGUGGUCACCGACUGCCCGUGCCACCCAGGCUGGUUGCAGUAGGUGUGUUCUUGUUUCUUCUCAGAGGCGGGACCUGGACCCGGGCCUGGUGAAUGCUGACCAAGUGUGCUCAGAGCGAGGUGACUCCAAGGAGCACCUGUGUGUGGGAGGCGAGGCUCGUCCCCGCCAGGCGUUUGUCCAUUCAGGCUGUGUGUCUGGCUGGCGCUCAGAUGGUGGGCCUCUGCUUCCGAGAAGGUUCAGCCAGGCACCUGAGUGCUCCAGGAGUUCGGUGGCUCUCACACAUCCUGGCUGCCUAUUCUAGUCACUUCUAAGCUUCUAAGAAUCCAGACGCCCAGGCGCUCCCAAGAGUCUGUGCGUGUGAAGGGAAGAGGCAGUGUUAGUAUUUUACUCACAUCCCUCAAGAGGCUCCUAAGGACACCACCACCUGGAAACCACGUCUCUGGUGGCCCCUGAGCUGCACGGCCAAUGAAGUCUUGCCAAAUCUAAGGCGUUUGAAAACUGCGCAGCGCGUCAGAGCUUAGGGGCAGCUCUUAUCUGUGUGUGUUUCUAACACCCCGAAUUGUCCAGAAGUGGUCACUGAACUCCAGUGUUCAAAGAUGCCUCACCGGAGGGAGUUAGUGUGGAAACGGCAAAGUCUCUUCCGGCCCCGGGGUUCUGUAGCUCCCUUGGUCCUUCGCCGCUUCCCUCCAGCCCCCAAUUAGUUGUCGAGCAUCUUUUGCGUGUGAGGCUCAGUUCUGAGCGCGGGGCAGGAGCGGCGUGGGCCAGGUAGACCCGGCCAGUGUUCUGUGGAACACGCGCUCCAGCUGGGGAGACGCAUUGUCACAUGAGCUAGCACAGGGGUGAGUUCCUUGUGAGGGGUGAGGGGCUGGGCUUAGAGUGGGUGGCUGAGGGAUGAGGUGUUGUGGAGGCUGCAGGGUAGGGGUCGGGCCUUCUCAGCAAGUACCUCCCACCCGUCCAGACACACAGCGGUGGGAGAUGACCUUGCAGACAGCUCCGGUAAGAUGGGUGGCUCUGUCUUCACACCAGCUGGACACCGUGGCUCAGACAUUAUCACCAAGACCCAGACUUCUUUGCGCAGCCCGAGCCUGUGGGCCCUUCCCCUCUGGCCUCCGGCCUCAGAAGCCCCAGGUCCUGCCGCCUUGGGGGCUACCUCGUGUUCUCAGUCCACAGCCCAAGGGAUAGGGAGGAUUUCUCUGUAGCUCCUCUACCAUCCAGGGGUUUGGGAGUGGGGGGCUUGGGACCGGGGUACUUUGCAGGUUCACGUCAGCUGGUGGAAACCCUCCCCGGUCACCACAGCAAGGUCAGUCCGCCUCAGACUGGGACUGGGAGUAAGUGGGGGGGCGGGGGGGUAAUUCUCCCAAGGAAGUCAGGGUAUCCUUCAGGGAAACAGGGCAGGAGUGCUGGAAAGUGGCCAGGGGUCUCCUGAUGGAGGCGAGCGGCUGGAACGGGCAGCAUCUCUCACACAGUGCCCGAGGUGGUCAGGUCUGCAGGGGCAGGAGCUCGAGCCUCCCGGUCCGUGUCCUCCUGGCACAGGUGAGCUGGGGGGUGUAGACCGGUAGCAGGGUUCUCCUGAUGAGCUCGUUCAGUUCUCGUGGUUGCUGGCGAGCAAGGGGAGGCUGAAGAAAGGGUGUCAAGAUUCCCGUGGUCUGGGGCUCCUGGGUGGCUCAGUCCAUUAAGUGUCCGACUUCGACUCAGGUCAUGAUCUCACGGUUUGUGAGUUCGAGCCCCACAUCGGGCUCUGUGCCGACAGCUCAGAGCCUGGAGCCUGCUUCGGAUUCUGUGUCUCCUUCUCUCUCUGCCCCUCCCCUACUCAUGUUGUGUCUCUCUUUCUCUCAAAAAUAAAUAAACAUUUAAAAAGUUAAAAAAAAAAAAAAAAAAAGAUUCCCGUGCUCACAGGGAGCCGGAGCAGUCUGUCAGUCUCUCCCUGACACUUUCUACCACAUGGCUCCCUCUAGUCAAGGUGGAGAACCAAGGCCCCGUGAGGUGCUGUGUUGGGGACAGAGCAAGGACCCGUCCCCACUGUGAUCCCAGCCAGGACCAGUGUCCUGCUAAGCGCCUCGUCACGUUUGGCAGAAGUGGGCCUGGGGAGAGCUGUCACAGUCACAGGGAGGUGGCUCUGUGUGUGCUUCUGGGAAGACCUGGAAGGAAAGGUCAGAGCAGCUUCUGGAGGCAGGUGAGUGUUUGUGGAGGCCUCUGGAGGGUGUGGGUCUGGGGAAAGCAGCAGGAGAGGUCCCAGGUCCACACAGGAGUUGACAGGCUCGGGUGUCCAAGCGGUGGUGGGAGUGAACCUUGCAGGUCCGUCUGCCUUGGCCGGUGCCCAGCCCUGCGCGCUGCUGCUGGGGCUAAGAGGGGCCUGUGUGGGAAUGGGGCCCAGGGAGGCAAGUCCUCCGGAGGCCUGGGGGACAUUCCCUGGUCUUCUCUGACACUGGCAGUCACCACCCUUCCUGCUGCCCUCUCUGAGCCUCAGAGCUCAGCCAGAUUGUCGCGGGAGCCACCCGCACACCUGCAGGGGGGAGGAGCGUGACGGGGGUCACAGCCCAGGGAGACUCUUAGGCAAAGGAGUAGUUAUGGUGCUAAACGAUAGGUGCUCUAAAGGAAAGCUGAGUGAUUCCAGAGGAGUUAGGGCAAGCGGGGAGGGGAGAGACGGAGGGACUCGAAGGCUCAGAGGCAGAGGGCGGUUUACGUGCCCUAUUGUGUGUCUGGGGGGGGGCGGGGAGGUCAGUGUGGCUGGGGAAGCACAGGCAGAAUGAGGACAUCUAACACACAUCUCUUUGGAGUUCCAGAAGAGUUUAUGCUUGAAAAGAUAAUGAUUGACGGUUUUUAAGUUUGUGGCAAGGUGCUACUUCUCAGAUCCAGGAAGCCUAGUGAGUCGUAAGCAGGAUAAAAUUAAAGAAAUCCCCACCUGGGCACAUUGGCAGGAGACUGGAGAACACCACAGGAAGGGAACAUCUUUUAGUUUUUAUUUUAAUGUUCCAUUAUUUAUUUUUGAGAGGGAGACAGAGAGAAAGAACGCCGGUGGUGGAGGACAGAGAGUGGGGGAGAGAGAAUCCCAAGCAGGCUCCCCACUCAGUAUGGAGUCCAACACGGGGCUCGAACCCCCGAACUGUGAGCUCAUGACCUGAGCCGAAAUCGAGAGUCGGACAUUCAACUGACUGAGCCGCCCGGGCGCCCCUAAGGAAGAGAACGUCUUAAAUAAACCCAAGGGAGCAUUUGCACCGCUGAAAAGAGACGGCAGUCAAGCGGACGGCUGACAUCUCAACGAGGAUGGCCGUUGCUGGCAAGCAGUAGAAUAAGGUCUUAGGUGCGCUGGAAGAAACACCGUUAACCUUGAAUUCCCUUCCUAGGGAAACCUCUUUCUUGCAAGAAUGAUGGUAAAAUACAUUUUGAGACACCAGCGAAACAUCUGUUACCCUCCGGAAUUCUGGAUUCAUUGAAGGUAUUCCUUAGGAGCAAAGGUGAAAUAGUGACAUUUGCAGGCAGCAGAAACGUCCCAGCUUCCCAUCGUGACUUGUUCUUUUUGGUUAUUCUGGCUCCAGCCAGGAGCCCUCCAAGGAACCCGGCCAGAGUCGCCUCAGCUGAGCAAGAGAUGCUCCCAGUGCUGUGGUCACUUAAGAGAUCCCAAGGGUUUCAGGACCAGGAGCCGAGGGUGCAGAGACCAAUCUGUAUAUUUCAUAUCACUUCACAAAAAGUAGUAAAAAUGUAACAGGAUGUGAGCGGCACAGUUCAUAAGCCUGCGGAUUUGUUGUUCUCGGUGACAGGAGCACACGCAUUAUUUUCAGUCCCCUUCAGAAUACUUAGCGAAGACUUGAUCCUGUGCUAGGCAAAAAAAAAAAAAAAAAAAAAAAAAAAGGCCAGCCCCAGCACAUUUCUGGAAACCGGGAUCACCUAGAACACACGUUCUGACUACAACAUCGUCAGCAACAAAAGGAAGACUAGAGAAACUCCAUAUGCUUGACAUUUGAAAAAUUCCUGAAUUCUUGAGUCAAAGAAGAAAUUCUAAUGAGAAUCAAAACAUUUAAAACCAACUAGUAAGGUAAAUAUUUUUAUCCCAGAAUUUGUGGGGCCACUAAAGCAAUAGUGAGAGGGGGACCUGGUAGCUCUCACUGUUUACAGAAUAACGUGACACCGAAAAGUGGAAGAAAUGAAGUAAGGAUAAGAACAGAAAUGAGUGCAUUGGAAAACAAACACACGGGACAGUCAUCGCUGACUGAAAAGAGCAACAAAUAAAACAGAUCUCUGGCAAGAAUAAUUUU
This is a long non-coding RNA of Leopardus geoffroyi (Geoffroy's cat), 6923 nucleotides long. RefSeq lists it as uncharacterized. The transcript is spliced from 2 exons. Lineage: Eukaryota; Metazoa; Chordata; Mammalia; Carnivora; Felidae. The record is from RefSeq and is a predicted model, not a curated record.